AGGCACGUAGCUCAGGUGGUAGAGCGCUACCUCGACGCGGUAGAGGUCGACGGUUCGAUACCGUCCGUGCCUACCA
This 76-nucleotide transfer RNA is filed under the name Deltaproteobacteria bacterium RBG_16_54_11. RNAcentral describes it as "tRNA-Val". It matches the Rfam family "tRNA". Rfam says of the family: Transfer RNA (tRNA) molecules are approximately 80 nucleotides in length. Their secondary structure includes four short double-helical elements and three loops (D, anti-codon, and T loops). Further hydrogen bonds mediate the characteristic L-shaped molecular structure. tRNAs have two regions of fundamental functional importance: the anti-codon, which is responsible for specific mRNA codon recognition, and the 3' end, to which the tRNAs corresponding amino acid is attached (by aminoacyl-tRNA synthetases). tRNAs cope with the degeneracy of the genetic code in two manners: having more than one tRNA (with a specific anti-codon) for a particular amino acid; and 'wobble' base-pairing, i.e. permitting non-standard base-pairing at the 3rd anti-codon position. The record is from RNAcentral. Lineage: Bacteria; Deltaproteobacteria. RNAcentral also lists the same sequence under 1 other name.